CAAUAGCGUAUAUUAAAGUUGUUGCAGUUAAAAAGCUCGUAGUUGGAUUUCUGUUUUGGAUGUCCGGUCCGCUCCCUCUGGGAGUGCGUACUUAUGGAUGUUCGAGGCAUUUUUUGUGAGGUCGCUUUUCUGCCAUUAAGUUGGUGGUUUUGCGGGCCUGCAUCGUUUACUGUGAAAAAAUUAGAGUGUUUAAAGCAGGCGUUUGCUCAUUUGAAUACAUUAGCAUGGAAUAAUAAGAUACGGCCUUGGUGGUCUAUUUUGUUGGUUUGCACACCAGGGUAAUGAUUAAUAGGGACAGUUGGGGGUAUUCAUAUUUCAGCGUCAGAGGUGAAAUUCUUGGAUCGCUGAAAGAUGAGCUUAGGCGAAAGCAUUUACCAAGGAUGUUUUCAUUAA
This 393-nucleotide ribosomal RNA is filed under the name uncultured eukaryote. RNAcentral describes it as "partial 18S ribosomal RNA". It matches the Rfam family "Eukaryotic small subunit ribosomal RNA", at positions 592 to 976 of the family's 1831-position model. The record is from RNAcentral.